AUCUUGAAGAUAUAUUUGGUGUGGGUCCCAGGCAGUGCUCGCAUAUUCGAGGACAGGUCGUAUGAGUCCUUUAUAUGCCUGGAGUUUAACUUCAAGUGGACAUGAUUGAAGAUUUCUUUUCAAUAAUCCUAAUGUCCUAUUUUUUCAUCUAAUUCAAU
Mizuhopecten yessoensis (Yesso scallop) is the source of this 158-nucleotide long non-coding RNA. RefSeq lists it as uncharacterized. The transcript is spliced from 3 exons. Lineage: Eukaryota; Metazoa; Mollusca; Bivalvia; Pectinida; Pectinidae. The record is from RefSeq and is a predicted model, not a curated record.